GGGUUGUGAGGUUAAGCGACUAAGCGUACACGGUGGAUGCCCUGGCAGUCAGAGGCGAUGAAGGACGUGCUAAUCUGCGAAAAGCGUCGGUAAGGUGAUAUGAACCGUUAUAACCGGCGAUGUCCGAAUGGGGAAACCCAGUGCAAUUCGUUGCACUAUCGUUAACUGAAUACAUAGGUUAACGAGGCGAACCGGGGGAACUGAAACAUCUAAGUACCCCGAGGAAAAGAAAUCAACCGAGAUUCCCCCAGUAGCGGCGAGCGAACGGGGAGCAGCCCAGAGUCUGAAUCAGCUUGUGUGUUAGUGGAACGGUCUGGAAAGUCCGACGGUACAGGGUGAUAGUCCCGUACACCAAAAUGCACAGGCUGUGAACUCGAAGAGUAGGGCGGGACACGUGGUAUCCUGUCUGAAUAUGGGGGGACCAUCCUCCAAGGCUAAAUACUCCUGACUGACCGAUAGUGAACCAGUACCGUGAGGGAAAGGCGAAAAGAACCCCGGCGAGGGGAGUGAAAAAGAACCUGAAACCGUGUACGUACAAGCAGUGGGAGCACCUUCGGGUGUGACUGCGUACCUUUUGUAUAAUGGGUCAGCGACUUAUAUUCUGUAGCAAGGUUAACCGUAUAGGGGAGCCGCAGGGAAACCGAGUCUUAACUGGGCGUUAAGUUGCAGGGUAUAGACCCGAAACCCGGUGAUCUAGCCAUGGGCAGGUUGAAGGUUGGGUAACACUAACUGGAGGACCGAACCGACUAAUGUUGAAAAAUUAGCGGAUGACUUGUGGCUGGGGGUGAAAGGCCAAUCAAACCGGGAGAUAGCUGGUUCUCCCCGAAAGCUAUUUAGGUAGCGCCUCGUGAACUCAUCUUCGGGGGUAGAGCACUGUUUCGGCUAGGGGGUCAUCCCGACUUACCAACCCGAUGCAAACUACGAAUACCGAAGAAUGUUAUCACGGGAGACACACGGCGGGUGCUAACGUCCGUCGUGAAGAGGGAAACAACCCAGACCGCCAGCUAAGGUCCCAAAGUCAUGGUUAAGUGGGAAACGAUGUGGGAAGGCACAGACAGCCAGGAUGUUGGCUUAGAAGCAGCCAUCAUUUAAAGAAAGCGUAAUAGCUCACUGGUCGAGUCGGCCUGCGCGGAAGAUGUAACGGGGCUAAACCAUGCACCGAAGCUGCGGCAGCGACACUAUGUGUUGUUGGGUAGGGGAGCGUUCUGUAAGCCUGCGAAGGUGUGCUGUGAGGCAUGCUGGAGGUAUCAGAAGUGCGAAUGCUGACAUAAGUAACGAUAAAGCGGGUGAAAAGCCCGCUCGCCGGAAGACCAAGGGUUCCUGUCCAACGUUAAUCGGGGCAGGGUGAGUCGACCCCUAAGGCGAGGCCGAAAGGCGUAGUCGAUGGGAAACAGGUUAAUAUUCCUGUACUUGGUGUUACUGCGAAGGGGGGACGGAGAAGGCUAUGUUAGCCGGGCGACGGUUGUCCCGGUUUAAGCAUGUAGGCUGGUUGUCCAGGCAAAUCCGGAUAAUCAAGGCUGAGGUGUGAUGACGAGGCACUACGGUGCUGAAGUAACAAAUGCCCUGCUUCCAGGAAAAGCCUCUAAGCAUCAGGUAACAUUAAAUCGUACCCCAAACCGACACAGGUGGUCAGGUAGAGAAUACCAAGGCGCUUGAGAGAACUCGGGUGAAGGAACUAGGCAAAAUGGUGCCGUAACUUCGGGAGAAGGCACGCUGGUGUGUAGGUGAAGCCCCUGCGGGUGGAGCUGAGACCAGUCGAAGAUACCAGCUGGCUGCAACUGUUUAUUAAAAACACAGCACUGUGCAAACACGAAAGUGGACGUAUACGGUGUGACGCCUGCCCGGUGCCGGAAGGUUAAUUGAUGGGGUUAUCCGUAAGGAGAAGCUCUUGAUCGAAGCCCCGGUAAACGGCGGCCGUAACUAUAACGGUCCUAAGGUAGCGAAAUUCCUUGUCGGGUAAGUUCCGACCUGCACGAAUGGCGUAAUGAUGGCCAGGCUGUCUCCACCCGAGACUCAGUGAAAUUGAACUCGCUGUGAAGAUGCAGUGUACCCGCGGCAAGACGGAAAGACCCCGUGAACCUUUACUAUAGCUUGACACUGAACAUUGAGCCUUGAUGUGUAGGAUAGGUGGGAGGCUUUGAAGCGUGGACGCCAGUCUGCGUGGAGCCAACCUUGAAAUACCACCCUUUAAUGUUUGAUGUUCUAACGUUGGCCCCUGACCGGGGUUGCGGACAGUGUCUGGUGGGUAGUUUGACUGGGGCGGUCUCCUCCCAAAGCGUAACGGAGGAGCACGAAGGUUAGCUAAUCCUGGUCGGACAUCAGGAGGUUAGUGCAAUGGCAUAAGCUAGCUUGACUGCGAGCGUGACGGCGCGAGCAGGUGCGAAAGCAGGUCAUAGUGAUCCGGUGGUUCUGAAUGGAAGGGCCAUCGCUCAACGGAUAAAAGGUACUCCGGGGAUAACAGGCUGAUACCGCCCAAGAGUUCAUAUCGACGGCGGUGUUUGGCACCUCGAUGUCGGCUCAUCACAUCCUGGGGCUGAAGUAGGUCCCAAGGGUAUGGCUGUUCGCCAUUUAAAGUGGUACGCGAGCUGGGUUUAGAACGUCGUGAGACAGUUCGGUCCCUAUCUGCCGUGGGCGCUGGAGAAUUGAGGGGGGCUGCUCCUAGUACGAGAGGACCGGAGUGGACGCAUCACUGGUGUUCGGGUUGUCAUGCCAAUGGCACUGCCCGGUAGCUAAAUGCGGAAGAGAUAAGUGCUGAAAGCAUCUAAGCACGAAACUUGCCCCGAGAUGAGUUCUCCCUGAGACUUUAAGUCUCCUGAAGGAACGUUGAAGACGACGACGUUGAUAGGCCGGGUGUGUAAGCGCAGC
This 2865-nucleotide ribosomal RNA is filed under the name Klebsiella pneumoniae. RNAcentral's name for it is "bacterial LSU rRNA". It matches the Rfam family "Bacterial large subunit ribosomal RNA". Lineage: Bacteria; Pseudomonadati; Pseudomonadota; Gammaproteobacteria; Enterobacterales; Enterobacteriaceae. The record is from RNAcentral.